Molecule: ribosomal RNA, 255 nt
Filed under: uncultured bacterium
Lineage: Bacteria
Description: partial 16S ribosomal RNA
Rfam family: Bacterial small subunit ribosomal RNA
Source: RNAcentral
UACGAAGGGGGGCUAGCGUUGUUCGGAAUCACUGGGCGUAAAGGGUGCGUAGGCGGGUCUUUAAGUCAGGGGUGAAAUCCUGGAGCUCAACUCCAGAACUGCCUUUGAUACUGAGGAUCUUGAGUUCGGGAGAGGUGAGUGGAACUGCGAGUGUAGAGGUGAAAUUCGUAGAUAUUCGCAAGAACACCAGUGGCGAAGGCGGCUCACUGGCCCGAUACUGACGCUGAGGCACGAAAGCGUGGGGAGCAAACAGGG